CGAAAGCCUGACGGAGCAACGCCGCGUGAGGGAUGAAGACCUUUGGGCUGUAAACCUCUUUUCUCAAGGAAGAAGAUCUGACGGUACUUGAGGAAUAAGCCACGGCUAAUUCCGUGCCAGCAGCCGCGGUAAUACGGGAGUGGCAAGCGUUAUCCGGAAUUAUUGGGCGUAAAGCGUCCGCAGGCGGCCGUUUAAGUCUGUUGUUAAAUCGUGGAGCUCAACUCCAUCACGGCAAUGGAAACUGUUCGGCUUGAGUAUGGUAGGGGCAGAGGGAAUUUCCGGUGUAGCGGUGAAAUGCGUAGAUAUCGGGAAGAACACCAGUGGCGAAAGCGCUCUGCUAGGCCAUUACUGACGCUCAUGGACGAAAGCCAGGGGAGCGAAAGGGAUUAGAUACCCCUGUAGUCCUGGCCGUAAACGAUGAACACUAGAUGUUGGGGGAAUCGACCCCCUCGGUGUCGUAGCUAACGCGUUAAGUGUUCCGCCUGGGGAGUACGCACGCAAGUGUGAAACUCAAAGGAAUUGACGGGGGCCCGCACAAGCGGUGGAGUAUGUGGUUUAAUUCGAUGCAACGCGAAGAACCUUACCAAGGCUUGACAUCCUGCGAAUCUCUAGGAAAUUAGAGAGUGCCUUCGGGAACGCAGUGACAGGUGGUGCAUGGCUGUCGUCAGCUCGUGUCGUGAGAUGUUGGGUUAAGUCCCGCAACGAGCGCAACCCACGUUUUUAGUUGCCAGCAUUCAGUUGGGCACUCUAGAAAGACUGCCGGUGACAACCGGAGGAAGGUGUGGACGACGUCAAGUCAUCAUGCCCCUUACGCCUUGGGCUACACACGUACUACAAUGCUGCGGACAAAGAGUAGCGAUCUUGCAAAAGUUAGCUAAUCUCGUAAACCGUGGCUCAGUUCAGAUCGUAGGCUGCAACUCGCCUACGUGAAGUAGGAAUCGCUAGUAAUCGCAGGUCAGCAUACUGCGGUGAAUACGUUCCCGGGCCUUGUACACACCGCCCGUCACACCAUGGAAGUUGGCCAUGCCCGAAGUCGUUACUCUAACCUUUUGGAAGAGGGCGCCGAAGGCAGGGCUAAUGACUGGGGUGAAGUCGUAACAAGGUAGCCGUAGCGGAAGCUGCGGCUGGAUCACCUCCUAA
RNAcentral lists this ribosomal RNA (1140 nucleotides) under Candidatus Synechococcus spongiarum. RNAcentral describes it as "bacterial SSU rRNA". It matches the Rfam family "Bacterial small subunit ribosomal RNA", at positions 376 to 1533 of the family's 1533-position model. Lineage: Bacteria; Bacillati; Cyanobacteriota; Cyanophyceae; Synechococcales; Synechococcaceae. The record is from RNAcentral.